GGGAUUAUAGUUAAUAAUAAUAUUUAGUUUGCAUCUAAAAGAUAUUGAAUUUUCAAUUUUUCUCA
RNAcentral lists this transfer RNA (65 nucleotides) under Desmopachria sp. ITV9392. Its description in RNAcentral is "tRNA-Ala". RNAcentral also lists the same sequence under 1 other name. Lineage: Eukaryota; Metazoa; Arthropoda; Insecta; Coleoptera; Dytiscidae. The record is from RNAcentral.